UUUAUGGAGAGUUUGAUCCUGGCUCAGAGUGAACGCUGGCGGCGUGCCUAAUACAUGCAAGUCGAACGAUGAAGCUUCUAGCUUGCUAGAAUGCUGAUUAGUGGCGCACGGGUGAGUAACGCAUAGGUUAUGUGCCUCUUAGUUUGGGAUAGCCAUUGGAAACGAUGAUUAAUACCAGAUACUCCCUACGGGGGAAAGAUUUAUCGCUAAGAGAUCAGCCUAUGUCCUAUCAGCUUGUUGGUAAGGUAAUGGCUUACCAAGGCUAUGACGGGUAUCCGGCCUGAGAGGGUGAACGGACACACUGGAACUGAGACACGGUCCAGACUCCUACGGGAGGCAGCAGUAGGGAAUAUUGCUCAAUGGGGGAAACCCUGAAGCAGCAACGCCGCGUGGAGGAUGAAGGUUUUAGGAUUGUAAACUCCUUUUGUUAGAGAAGAUAAUGACGGUAUCUAACGAAUAAGCACCGGCUAACUCCGUGCCAGCAGCCGCGGUAAUACGGAGGGUGCAAGCGUUACUCGGAAUCACUGGGCGUAAAGAGCGCGUAGGCGGGAUAGUCAGUCAGGUGUGAAAUCCUAUGGCUUAACCAUAGAACUGCAUUUGAAACUACUAUUCUAGAGUGUGGGAGAGGUAGGUGGAAUUCUUGGUGUAGGGGUAAAAUCCGUAGAGAUCAAGAGGAAUACUCAUUGCGAAGGCGACCUGCUGGAACAUUACUGACGCUGAUUGCGCGAAAGCGUGGGGAGCAAACAGGAUUAGAUACCCUGGUAGUCCACGCCCUAAACGAUGGAUGCUAGUUGUUGGAGGGCUUAGUCUCUCCAGUAAUGCAGCUAACGCAUUAAGCAUCCCGCCUGGGGAGUACGGUCGCAAGAUUAAAACUCAAAGGAAUAGACGGGGACCCGCACAAGCGGUGGAGCAUGUGGUUUAAUUCGAAGAUACACGAAGAACCUUACCUAGGCUUGACAUUGAGAGAAUCCGCUAGAAAUAGUGGAGUGUCUGGCUUGCCAGACCUUGAAAACAGGUGCUGCACGGCUGUCGUCAGCUCGUGUCGUGAGAUGUUGGGUUAAGUCCCGCAACGAGCGCAACCCCCUUUCUUAGUUGCUAACAGGUCAUGCUGAGAACUCUAAGGAUACUGCCUCCGUAAGGAGGAGGAAGGUGGGGACGACGUCAAGUCAUCAUGGCCCUUACGCCUAGGGCUACACACGUGCUACAAUGGGGUGCACAAAGAGAAGCAAUACUGCGAAGUGGAGCCAAUCUUCAAAACACCUCUCAGUUCGGAUUGUAGGCUGCAACUCGCCUGCAUGAAGCUGGAAUCGCUAGUAAUCGCAAAUCAGCCAUGUUGCGGUGAAUACGUUCCCGGGUCUUGUACUCACCGCCCGUCACACCAUGGGAGUUGUGUUUGCCUUAAGUCAGGAUGCUAAAUUGGCUACUGCCCACGGCACACACAGCGACUGGGGUGAAGUCGUAACAAGGUAACCGUAGGUGAACCUGCGGUUGGAUCACCUCCUUUCUA
RNAcentral lists this ribosomal RNA (1507 nucleotides) under Helicobacter pylori FD423. RNAcentral describes it as "bacterial SSU rRNA". It matches the Rfam family "Bacterial small subunit ribosomal RNA". Lineage: Bacteria; Pseudomonadati; Campylobacterota; Epsilonproteobacteria; Campylobacterales; Helicobacteraceae. The record is from RNAcentral.